AUUCAUCUCCGGGGGUAGAGCACUGUUUCGGCAAGGGGGUCAUCCCGACUUACCAACCCGAUGCAAACUACGAAUACCGGAGAAUGUUAUCACGGGAGACACACGGCGGGUGCUAACGUCCGUCGUGAAGAGGGAAACAACCCAGACCGCCAGCUAAGGUCCCAAAGUCAUGGUUAAGUGGGAAACGAUGUGGGAAGGCCCAGACAGCCAGGAUGUUGGCUUAGAAGCAGCCAUCAUUUAAAGAAAGCGUAAUAGCUCACUGGUCGAGUCGGCCUGCGCGGAAGAUGUAACGGGGCUAAACCAUGCACCGAAGCUGCGGCAGCGACGCUGAUGCGUUGUUGGGUAGGGGAGCGUUCUGUAAGCCUGUGAAGGUGUACUGUGAGGUAUGCUGGAGGUAUCAGAA
Molecule: ribosomal RNA, 403 nt
Filed under: Escherichia coli
Lineage: Bacteria; Pseudomonadati; Pseudomonadota; Gammaproteobacteria; Enterobacterales; Enterobacteriaceae
Description: bacterial LSU rRNA
Rfam family: Bacterial large subunit ribosomal RNA
Source: RNAcentral